GCUCUUAUGGGUGGCGAGUGGCGGACGGGUGAGGAAUACAUCGGAAUCUACUUUUUCGUGGGGGAUAACGUAGGGAAACUUACGCUAAUACCGCAUACGACCUACGGGUGAAAGCAGGGGAUCUUCGGACCUUGCGCGAUUGAAUGAGCCGAUGUCGGAUUAGCUAGUUGGCGGGGUAAAGGCCCACCAAGGCGACGAUCCGUAGCUGGUCUGAGAGGAUGAUCAGCCACACUGGAACUGAGACACGGUCCAGACUCCUACGGGAGGCAGCAGUGGGGAAUAUUGGACAAUGGGCGCAAGCCUGAUCCAGCCAUACCGCGUGGGUGAAGAAGGCCUUCGGGUUGUAAAGCCCUUUUGUUGGGAAAGAAAUCCAGCCGGUUAAUACCUGGUUGGGAUGACGGUACCCAAAGAAUAAGCACCGGCUAACUUCGUGCCAGCAGCCGCGGUAAUACGAAGGGUGCAAGCGUUACUCGGAAUUACUGGGCGUAAAGCGUGCGUAGGUGG
RNAcentral lists this ribosomal RNA (504 nucleotides) under Stenotrophomonas maltophilia. RNAcentral describes it as "bacterial SSU rRNA". It matches the Rfam family "Bacterial small subunit ribosomal RNA", at positions 75 to 578 of the family's 1533-position model. Lineage: Bacteria; Pseudomonadati; Pseudomonadota; Gammaproteobacteria; Lysobacterales; Lysobacteraceae. The record is from RNAcentral.